UCUCAUGUGCCCUUCUUCACUGCCGUACAAGCGAUGACCAGGCGGCCACGAACAAGCACCCGUUGCAAGCAACGCCAUGCCCGGCGGAGACAUUCACCAAUGAGUGCUUCGUCCCUCCGGGAAACAGGAUCUUGGAUCUCAGGAACUCGCCGACCAAGCAGGAGGCUUUCAGUCUUUCACGCAGAAGGCUGGUGGUCCUCCGCGCCCGGCGCCAGGGCCUCCCUCUUCGUCGCACUGGGCCAUGACGGCGAGCCCGGGGGAGUGCGGCCACGCUGGCCUCAGCCCGCGCGAGCGACGCGUUCUACCGUCGUUCCCGGCAUGUCCUGGUCAAGCCGGUAAUCUCGCGCCCAUCCGGACCGCCGGUGCACUGCGGUAUCAUGCCACCGGAGCCCUCCGUCCCGCGUCGUCAUCGUGGGGAGCUGCUCGCCUCGGCAAUGCUAGUGCAGAAGGCGGGUCGGGCUUUUCACCAUCGCCAUUUAUGACGUAUUACAUUGUCGUCAAGAUGGGCACGCCGAGCGGUGACAACGUGGCACCCAGGGGUGUGGGGAUGGCGACGCCGCGAGCUCCCCGGCUGACCACCGGCGAUUUUGGAGAUCUACCUCGCCGGAGCCUAUCCGGUUCAGGUUGGACCGGUUCACACCAUCCGUGGAUGCCUCUCCAAAGAGAAGAUCAUUGGCCUCUCUCGCAUACAGGCCGCCAAGAAGCUAUUCCUUUGGGUUUGGAUUUUUGACAUUGUGGGCUUGCGGCGCAUCUCAAGGAGCCUUGGAGUUCGUCUCGGAGGUUUUGUCUGCAUCGCUAUUCGACAUGUGCCUGUCUGCGGCGCCAGCGUCGGCGUGCAGCUCGUGGCUGGGGUCAUCCAGGAACGUCCCUGCUUCCAAUUGCAGAGGCCGGCGCCCGAGCCCAGCCUGACUGCCUGGCGGCUGCUCUCCACGCCUACCGUCCGUCUCUUCCUCCGACGCCAACAACAGCGCUGGGUCUUUGCCCUCCUGAUGAAAAACGGUCAGGUGAUCCCUUUUAUUUUUCUCUUCUGGUCGCACUCUCAAUUUGGCUCACCUCCAUCCGUCCCUAAAUUCUCUUCUGGCUCUCCUAGCUUCUGUGGUAUAGGUCGUGCUGCUCAUGAUCAUCCCACUGUGCACCAACUGGCAAACUGAGGCAUUAUAUUUGCAAUCACCGUAACUUAGCCAUGCCAUUUUCGUUUUUA
Molecule: long non-coding RNA, 1201 nt
Organism: Triticum aestivum (bread wheat)
Lineage: Eukaryota; Viridiplantae; Streptophyta; Magnoliopsida; Poales; Poaceae
Exons: 2
Source: RefSeq, a predicted model, not a curated record